RNAcentral lists this ribosomal RNA (492 nucleotides) under uncultured bacterium. RNAcentral's name for it is "partial 16S ribosomal RNA". It matches the Rfam family "Bacterial small subunit ribosomal RNA", at positions 29 to 507 of the family's 1533-position model. The record is from RNAcentral.
AGUGAACGCUGGCGGUAGGCCUAACACAUGCAAGUCGAACGGCAGCACAGUAGGAGCUUGCUCUUACGGGUGGCGAGUGGCGGACGGGUGAGGAAUACAUCGGAAUCUACUUUUUCGUGGGGGAUAACGUAGGGAAACUUACGCUAAUACCGCAUACGACCUACGGGUGAAAGCAGGGGAUCUUCGGACCUUGCGCGAUUGAAUGAGCCGAUGUCGGAUUAGCUAGUUGGCGGGGUAAAGGCCCACCAAGGCGACGAUCUGUAGCUGGUCUGAGAGGAUGAUCAGCCACACUGGAACUGAGACACGGUCCAGACUCCUACGGGAGGCAGCAGUGGGGAAUAUUGGACAAUGGGCGCAAGCCUGAUCCAGCCAUACCGCGUGGGUGAAGAAGGCCUUCGGGUUGUAAAGCCCUUUUGUUGGGAAAGAAAAGCAGCAGGUUAAUACCCCGCUGUUCUGACGGUACCCAAAGAAUAAGCACCGGCUAACUUCGUG